Molecule: long non-coding RNA, 1216 nt
Filed under: Monodon monoceros (narwhal)
Lineage: Eukaryota; Metazoa; Chordata; Mammalia; Artiodactyla; Monodontidae
Description: lncRNA (ENSMMNG00015001552.1)
Source: RNAcentral
CCCUUUUUCAAAUAUGUUUCUUCAUUCCUUUGCUCUCUAUAAAACCACAUGGGAGGGCUUCCCUGGUGGUGCAGGCAGAUUCUUAACCACUGCACUACCAGGGAAGUCCCAGAUGUUAUUUCUUUUGGUAAGAGUUUGGAAUAUAAAGGAAGGAGAAAGAUAAGAUAUAAAUUGGGGAGAUUAACGGAGUUCAGGGAAGACCUCUUGAGUGAACAAAAUCCUGUAAAGAAAGGAAAAAGGUUCAUAUAUGUAGACACAGGGCUUAGUGUUAGGGAAGAGAAGAUAGAUGUUGAGAUAGGAGCACAAAACGGAUGAUAAGGAUGAGAAGAGAGAUGGGUAUUUUGAUAAAGAGAAGGUCUUUCAGUGCCACCUUGUUAGAUCAGCCCAUGGCCCCCACUGUUGAGAGCUUGUGAGUGCCUCUUUCUCACUACGCCACAUGGGGCUGUUAAUUCCAACUUUCUGAACUGAUACUGUUUGAUAAGCACUGCCAGGGCUAAGGACAGAGCUCUGUAGAGGUGUAAGAAAGCCUCUCCAAGUGGCCACUGACCAACAGUGAAUCGAGCCGCCAUUCAUGCAACACAAUCAUUAAGAAUCUCAGGGCUGGAGGCAUCUGAAAGGCCAUCUGGCCCAAGAUCACCUGAAUUCCCUCCACAGCAUCUCCAGCAGGCGGUUACAUAUAAGCUGCAUUUGAACAGCAUCCCAUUUGGUAUCUUGCAAGCCAGACCUUUCUUUCUCAGGUUAGACUGUUCAGCACAGGAAUUCUCCCACUGAUCUGCCAUAGACUUGAAAUUGCCAUUUUCAAUCACUCCUUAGGCUUAACAGACUGAAGGAUUCUUUUAAACCACAAAUACAUAACCUGGGGAUGGAGAUGCUGGUGAUGCCUUUUCUGUAAGAGUCCUUGUCAGUCACAAAGGAUGACUCCAAGGAGGGGUAAAUCUAACGUGCGGUGGGAGGGCUGCAGAUGUUAACAUCUGAGAACGCUUAACACCAAGGGAUGUUAAAGAGCAUUAGACACUGCUACAAAAGCCAACAUGCAAGCACAGGGUAUUCAGAGGAAGGGAAAUAUUGAAGUCAUGUUCAUCCUUUGUCUUAUUCUGGCCCCAGGUGGGCACUGGGGUGUGCCACCAUCUAAAGAGGAGCCCGGGCUUCCCUGGUGGCGCAGUGGUUGAGAGUCCGCCUGCCGAUGCAGGGGACACGGGUUCGUGCCCCGGUCCGG